RNAcentral lists this ribosomal RNA (301 nucleotides) under uncultured bacterium. RNAcentral describes it as "partial 16S ribosomal RNA". It matches the Rfam family "Bacterial small subunit ribosomal RNA", at positions 509 to 807 of the family's 1533-position model. The record is from RNAcentral.
CAGUCGCCACGGUAAUACGAAGGGGGCUAGCGUUGCUCGGAAUGACUGGGCGUAAAGGGCGCGUAGGCGGCUUGCACAGUCAGAUGUGAAAUUCCUGGGCUUAACCUGGGGGCUGCAUUUGAUACGUGUGGGCUAGAGUGUGAAAGAGGGUCGUGGAAUUCCCAGUGUAGAGGUGAAAUUCGUAGAUAUUGGGAAGAACACCGGUGGCGAAGGCGGCGACCUGGUUCAUGACUGACGCUGAGGCGCGAAAGCGUGGGGAGCAAACAGGAUUAGAUACCCCCGUAGUCCCUGUCUCUUAUAC